UUAAAAAGGCACGCAUCGGUCUUACUGUUCAUUAAGGGGAAAAAAAAUAUUGAGUUUGCCGGCUCAGUUCGUUCUUCAGUAUGUAGUUGCAGUUUUCCAAUUCUGUCCGCCAUUCUCUCUCUCACUUCGUUUGCUUCGUUCGAUUCCGACUAAACCUCUUCCCAAGACCGUCGUCGGUCCGCAUCCAGUUACCUGGGUUGUUGCGCCUUGUCAACCCUUCCUGUCUGCUCUCAAUCUUUCGGUCUAGGCGGUUGCCUUCCUUCUAAUAGCUUUUCUUUCGCAGUUGGAAGCCAACUCCCCUCAUCAUGUCUGUUUCUCCCCAGCUACAAUAUCUGUCAUCGAUCUAUUCAACUUUUCCCCAGCGCCGCAGUUCUCAGAUAUAUGUCUAUUCCCCCUUGGACUCCGCGCAUUGCCCUUAUCCCCUCUUUCCAUCUUCACUUUGUUGUUUAAUUUGAUGCGUACAGACCCAUCUGCUAUUUGGGAGAAAUAUCAUCUUCUUUCUUUGGAAACUCUACCGUGUCUUCCUUCCCAUUUUCUCAAAUCUUCUCGCCGAUGAUCCACCACUGGAACUCCUUUUACAGGUCCACCAUGUUUGGCGGCUCGGCGACCCCUCCCAGCCGGCCGAUUGUUUUGCUGUUGGAACACUGUGGGCUGCUGUGAAUGUGAGCUUCGCGAAUCCGCCCACCACUGCUCCUCCGCCUGUCCUUCCAACCAUUGUUAAUGGAUUCGCUAAACGUCAUUUGUUGUCUACUUUUGUUUCAGGGUUUGCGCAUACUAGGCGAUUCACACAAGAACUUUGCCGGCAGCCAUGUGUACAAAAUCUCCGCUUUACAAGUCUGGUUCUCUUCUCUGCAACAAAACAACUCUCUCUCAUACCGCGAGUAGAACCUUCCUUAAAGUUUUCAAAUCAUAAAAUUAAUAUUUGUUCACUUUUAAUUUAGUUUUAUUUAUCUUUUGUAGGCUUCUUAGUUGAGUUUUUUCAUGUUGUAAUGAUGUAGAUCUCCAGCAGAUUCCAUUGAUGUGGAUGUAUGGAGUGAAAAUUGUUGUGUUGGAUCUAUUGAGUUAUUCUACCUCCCCUUCUCUUCUCACACCUUGCAUUCAUACAGAGUAUGCUUUCGUGAAAUUCUGUUUUCUUGGUUUUAAAGGUUUUGCCAAUAAUUUUCUGUGAUCAUUAUACGGC
This 1180-nucleotide long non-coding RNA is filed under the name Linum usitatissimum (flax). RNAcentral's name for it is "long non-coding RNA (LUSI_LNC003482)". The record is from RNAcentral. Lineage: Eukaryota; Viridiplantae; Streptophyta; Magnoliopsida; Malpighiales; Linaceae.